This 113-nucleotide non-coding RNA is filed under the name Williamsia sterculiae. RNAcentral describes it as "TPP sequence". It matches the Rfam family "TPP riboswitch aptamer (THI element)". Rfam says of the family: Vitamin B(1) in its active form thiamin pyrophosphate (TPP) is an essential coenzyme that is synthesised by coupling of pyrimidine and thiazole moieties in bacteria. The previously detected thiamin-regulatory element, thi box was extended, resulting in a new, highly conserved RNA secondary structure, the THI element, which is widely distributed in eubacteria and also occurs in some archaea. Analysis of operon structures identified a large number of new candidate thiamin-regulated genes, mostly transporters, in various prokaryotic organisms. The record is from Rfam by way of RNAcentral. Lineage: Bacteria; Bacillati; Actinomycetota; Actinomycetes; Mycobacteriales; Nocardiaceae.
GGGAGCACACGCGGGAGUCCGGGGGUACGCCGGGCUGAGAGUGCGACGCGCCGUCGCUGACCGCCACACCUGAUCCGGAUCAUGCCGGCGAAGGGAGGGCGAAUGAAGAGUCU